GACGAACCGUGCGAACGUUAUUCGGAAUCACUGGGCUUAAAGCGCGUGUAGGCGGGGAGGCACGUCCGACGUUGAAAUCCCCCGGCUCAACCGGGGAACUGGCGCGGAUACGACCUUCCUGGAGGGGCGUAGGGGGACCUGGAACUUCCGGUGGAGCGGUGAAAUGCGUUGAGAUCGGAAGGAACGCCCGUGGCGAAAGCGAGGUCCUGGACGCCUACUGACGCUGAGACGCGAAAGCCAGGGGAGCGAACGGG
RNAcentral lists this ribosomal RNA (254 nucleotides) under uncultured bacterium. RNAcentral's name for it is "partial 16S ribosomal RNA". It matches the Rfam family "Bacterial small subunit ribosomal RNA", at positions 524 to 776 of the family's 1533-position model. The record is from RNAcentral.